GCUGGGCAUGGUGAUGCAUGCCUGUAAUCCCAGCAGCUCAGGAGGCUGAGGCAGGAGGAUUGGAAGUUCAAGGCCAGCCUCAGUAACUUAGGGUGCUCUAAGGAACUUAGUGAGACCCUGUCUCUA
Molecule: small RNA, 126 nt
Filed under: Marmota monax (woodchuck)
Lineage: Eukaryota; Metazoa; Chordata; Mammalia; Rodentia; Sciuridae
Source: RNAcentral